RNAcentral lists this long non-coding RNA (2948 nucleotides) under Marmota monax (woodchuck). Lineage: Eukaryota; Metazoa; Chordata; Mammalia; Rodentia; Sciuridae. The record is from RNAcentral.
GCUGUGACGAGGAAGAGCCUCCAGGUAGGAACAGCCCUUGGGGUAUGACAAAAUGGGAAAGGUUUCAUGGUAAGAUUUGAGUUCACCUACUCAUGUGGGAAAUGAGGAAUGGGAAUAAAAUAGAAAAAAAACAGAAAUAUGUAUUAUUUUCAUAAAAGAAGAGUUAGUAGACCUUCUGACAUCCUGUUCAUAAGAAGACAACUUUUGCUUUGCCAGGUAAACACAAUCUUCCAUGUUAAGUCCCAUUCUGUCCUAAAUUUGCCUCUAAUAAACAUCAAGUAGCUUGGCUUUCAUUAUUGAUUAUUUUUUGGCAUUGUGCAUGAAAGAAAUAAGAUCUACACUUUAGGUUUGACCCACAAUGGAAAGAAUCUAGUGGGACAUACUUUCUUAGAAGCACUUUGCAAACCUGUAAUUGAAGCUCUCACUAGUGAUAAGCAGUGAGUAAGAAGUCACAAUUCCCCUCUGACUGUUAUCCUUUUAGAGCAGCACUUUCUCUUCUGUGUUUUGUCUAUUUCUGGUUGAAAAUGAACUCCCAAAUGUGGGCAACUUAAAGAAAAUUGUUUCUGUGCUCCCUGGACAGGCCACUGUGUUCUCCUGUAAAAGAGUGGGGAGAAGUUCCUCCUUGAACAUGUUUCUAACCUCCAGUCUUCAUCUAAUUCCCAAGCCCUGGGACUAGGAGGAAAAUCUGAAUUUGCUUGUAUUUAAGAGGCCUAAGUCCAGAAAAUCAGGGAGACUGUGGCUUCCUCUUGGAGUAACAGGAUGACACAGAAUCCCUACCAAGUACAAUGGCAGAAUGUGAACUGGAAAAGAGCUCUUGGGAUGCUAGAUCUAUUUCUCAUUGCAGAGGUGAGGUGAUGGAGGCCAGGAGACAGGAAUGCAGACAAGAAAAAGAAUGGAGAGCUUUGACUGUGGGUUCUAGAACACCAGGAACAGGAGCAACUUAAGUUCUCACCUUGACUUUAACUCUGCCUUUCCUUUUUCUAAGGCCACAUCAUCACCAUCACGGCCAUGGUCCACAGAGAAAACAUAGAAAGUGAUUCAGAGGAUGAGAAGGAGGAAAAAAGGACAAGAAAUCUGCAAGUAAUUGAUUUUCUGUUGGUUUCUCUUAAUUAUUCUUUCUUAUGUAAAGACUGUAGAUUUUCCAUGUUUCAUCUUUCCCACAUUUUAUGACUUUUCUAAAGGUGCUUUCCUCAUCCAGAUCUUUGAGGUCCUUGGACCUUCAAUGUCUGUUCAAUCUCUCUGCACUAACAUUCUUAGUCUUUCCCUACUUUUUUUUUUUUACCACAGGCAACACCACUGAAUCAUGCUGAGUAAUACUGCAUACCCAUACACUGAGUUUGAGUUGUAGGGAGCAUCAGAAAUACUGAGUUGUUGCCUGAUACAUGAGACACAAACAAUCUGGUUCUGUUUUACUGACCACUGAAUAGCUGGGUUCUCCUGCCUUUGCUGGCUCUGGGCAUGCAUGAAUGUAUCCUUCCUUUCCUAGGUCAAGAUUACACAAUUGGAAUGUAGGUCCCCUAACAUGAAUUGUUUCCAGGGGCCCUCUCCUGUUUUAAUAUGUGGGCUCAAUGCAACAAAGGCGAUAAAGCAGUUUAGGAAGAGGAAAUGUGAGUCUGGAAAGAAUGGGAAGGAGAGCAGAGGUCAAAUCAGUCCACAUAUUCUCCUUUGCUUUCUUAAGUUUAUUUGUUGCACUUUGUUGCAAUCCAUAAGAAUCAAUUAGAGCACUGAAGGUUCCAUAGUUGCAUGUGACCAUGGCCAUGCAAGGGAAGGUACAAUUUGGUUAAAAUCAGUGCAGGAAGCUCUCUGAGGAAUGGCACUACAGAGGGUAGGGCUGGAGGAGCCAGGGUCCUUGCUCCACCCUGUGUCAUCACAGAUGCUGCUCUUCAGGGUCCCAGAUGUAUGCUAUUCAGCCUUUACACCCAAAUGUCCUAGAGAACUCUUCCCAUUGUCUCAUGUUCACUCUCCAGGGAAGCAGCCUCAGAAGGUUCUGAAGGUGAAUAUCCAUGAGAAUUUCCUCCUGAGGACAUUCAUAGACACUCUUCCCACAGACAACACCCUAAGCUGAGGGCAGCAUACCAGCCUCAGUGCUCCCUGCCCAGACCCCAGGAGAGAUCAGGGCCCAAGUUCAUCUUGCAUUUCCUGAGGACAAUUGUGGUCCUGGCCACUCUCUGUGGCCAGCAACUCAUCCCAAGUGACCUUUUUACCUUGUUCUGUUUUAUAGACCACAUAAUACACCUGGGAGAGCAGAGAUUUUGGCCCUGAGGCACAGGAGAGAUGAUACCUGCAGUGCACAGCAGCUGAAAUUAACCUGUAAGACUCGGAGCAGGAGCUUGUUUUUCAUUUCCAAAGACAUAACUGUCUAUAUUGUAUGGAAUUUGCAGACUUAUAAUUUCUUUGUUUAAUAAUUUUAAUAUUAGUAAUUCAUGGUAAAUUUUUAUAUUAAAUUAUAUUUACUUGGUAACAGUUGCUUUUUAAAAUCAUUUUGUAAAAUAAAACACACUUGGGAAGAGAGGUGGGAGGGAAAGUGAGGGAGAAGUGGAAUUGCACGGAAGAUGGAAGGAGACCCUCAUCGUUAUACAGAAUACAUGUAUGAUGAUGUGAGGGAAAAAAAGAAUUGUGUCACAUUAGAUUGGGUAGAGAGAACUGAUGGGAGGGGAGGGGAGGGGAAGGAGGGAAAGGAAGGUCAGCAGAAUAAAAUAGACAUUAGUAUUGCUGUAUGUAUAUACAUGACUGCAUGACCAAUGUGAUUCUACAACCUGUACACUCAGAAAACUGAGAAAUUAUACCCCAUCUUAUUAAAAAAUAUGAUAUGUCAAGAUCAUUGUACUGUCAUGUUUAACUAAUUAAAACAAAUUUUAAAAACACACACACUAAAAGAGGAAUAUGUUCCUAAGGCAGAUCUUGAUGAAUUACAAAGAUUUUACCUGGUAACUUCCAUCACCAUCACU